RNAcentral lists this long non-coding RNA (494 nucleotides) under Monodelphis domestica (gray short-tailed opossum). Its description in RNAcentral is "lncRNA (ENSMODG00000037053.1)". The record is from RNAcentral. Lineage: Eukaryota; Metazoa; Chordata; Mammalia; Didelphimorphia; Didelphidae.
CCUCAGUGUCAUGCAUAGAUAAUAACUGCUGAAUGAGACAGCUUGUUGGCACAAUGGAUAGAGCCUUGAGCUUGGAGUUAGCAACACUAGGGUUCAAAUUCAGACUCAGAAACUCACUACCUCUGUGAUUCCAAAUCUCGACCACCUGGUGACCUGCAUGCCCAACAAACCCAGAUCCUUGGAGAAGAUCGCUCAGGACUCAUUUCUACCAACUGUGAUCAUGGCCAGAUACAAAGAAGAAAUGGAUCUCAUUUUUGAUAAGAAAACUGAGGUCCAGAGAGGCUGUCACUUUUCCAUGGUCAAACAGAUGUACCCUGGGAAUGAGUCUACCACUGGACAGCUGGCUUAGGCAGCUGCAGCUAUACUUAACAGGUAACUGAAGCAAAGAAUUGUUCACAUGAUGCAGUCCCCCCUCCAGCUGAUUCAAUGCAUUCAAUAAUGCUGGAGAGUUUAAAACCAUUCCUUAACUGCCAAUGGUUAGAAAUAAAGAGGAU